GAUGAAGAACGCAGCGAAAUGCGAUAAGUAAUGCGAAUUGCAGAAUUCCAGUGAGUCAUCGAAUCUUUGAACGCACAUUGCGCCCCCUGGUAUUCCGGGGGGCAUGCCUGUUCGAGCGUCAUUUCACCACUCAAGCCUCGCUUGGUAUUGGGCAACGCGGUCCGCCGCGUGCCUCAAAUCGACCGGCUGGGUCUUCUGUCCCCUAAGCGUUGUGGAAACUAUUCGCUAAAGGGUGUUCGGGAGGCUACGCCGUAAAACAACCCCAUUUCUAAGGUUGACCUCGGAUCAGGUAGGGAUACCCGCUGAACUUAAGCAUAUCAAUAAGCGGAGGA
Molecule: unclassified non-coding RNA, 332 nt
Filed under: soil metagenome
Description: partial contains 5.8S ribosomal RNA, internal transcribed spacer 2, and large subunit ribosomal RNA
Rfam family: 5.8S ribosomal RNA (bases 1-121)
Source: RNAcentral